RNAcentral lists this ribosomal RNA (305 nucleotides) under uncultured bacterium. Its description in RNAcentral is "bacterial SSU rRNA". It matches the Rfam family "Bacterial small subunit ribosomal RNA", at positions 334 to 656 of the family's 1533-position model. The record is from RNAcentral.
CGCCCCUACGGGAGGCAGCAGUGAGGGAUAUUGGUCAAUGGGGGAAACCCUGAACCAGCAACGCCGCGUGAGGGAAGACGGUUUUCGGAUUGUAAACCUCUGUCCUCUGUGAAGAUAAUGACGGUAGCAGAGGAGGAAGCUCCGGCUAACUACGUGCCAGCAGCCGCGGUAAUACGUAGGGAGCAAGCGUUGUCCGGAUUUACUGGGUGUAAAGGGUGCGUAGGCGGCUUUGCAAGUCAGAAGUGAAAUCCAUGGGCUUAACCCAUGAACUGCUUUUGAAACUGCAGAGCUUGAUUGGAGUAGAG